Molecule: long non-coding RNA, 3985 nt
Organism: Clupea harengus (Atlantic herring)
Lineage: Eukaryota; Metazoa; Chordata; Actinopteri; Clupeiformes; Clupeidae
Source: Ensembl
UAUUGGUAACCUCGACCGGUUAAGCAAAAAAGGCAGGAAAGUCAUUGGCUAGCCUUGUUAGGUGCUGACUAAGACUGUAGAUGAGCCAUUAAGUGUUUGAAGUGUUACAGGCCAAAAUAGAAAAAAAUUGUACUUUUUUUUUUUUUUACUGAUUUUGUUUAUUAAUACACAUGCAUAAAUACUUUUUCUUUUUUUUUUUUACUGAUUUAAGUGUUACAGGCCAAAAGAGAAAAAAAUUUUAUGAGCAUAUUGGUAACCUCGACCGGUUAAGCAAAAAAGGCAGGAAAGUCAUUGGCUAGCCUUGUUAGGUGCCGACUAAGACUGUAGAUGAGCCAUUAAGUGUUUGAAGUGUUACAGGCCAAAAUAGAAAAAAAUAGUACUUUUUUUUUUUUUUUACUGAUUUUGUUUAUUAAUACACAUGCAUAAAUACUUUUUUUUGUUUUUUUUUUUUACUGAUUUAAGUGUUACAGGCCAAAAGAGAAAAAAUUUGUAUGAGCAUAUUGGUAACCUCGACCGGUUAAGCAAAAAAGGCAGGAAAGUCAUUGGCUAGCCUUGUUAGGUGCUGACUACGACUGUAGAUGAGCCAUUAAGUGUUUGAAGUGUUACAGGCCAAAAUAGAAAAAAAUAGUAAGAGCAUAUUGGUAACUUUGACCGGUUAAGCAAAAAAGGCAGGAAAGUCAUUGGCUAGCCUUGUUAGGUGCUGACUAAGACUGUAGAUGAGCCAUUAAGUGUUUGAAGUGUUACAGGCCAAAAUAGAAAAGAAUAGAACUUUUUUUUUUUUACUGAUUUUGUUCACCAAAAUAUAUGCAUAAAUACUUUUUUUUUUUUUUUUUUUAAACUGAUUUUGUUUAUCAAUAUACAUGCAUUAAUACUUUUUUUUUAACUGAUUUAAGUGUUACAGGCCAAAAUAGAAAAAAAUAGUAAGAGCAUGUUGGUAACUUUGACCGGUUAAGCAAAAAAGGCAGGAAAGUCAUUGGCUAGCCUUGUUAGGUACUGACUAAGACUGUAGAUGAGCCAUUAAGUGUUUGAAGUGUUACAGGCCAAAAUAGAAAAAAAUUGUACUUUUUUUUUUUUUUUACUGACUUUGUUUAUCAAUAUACAUGCAUAAAUACUUUUUUUUUUUUAACUGAUUUUGUUUAUCAAUAUACAUGCAUAAAUACUUUUUUUUUUUUUAACUGAUUUUGUUCAUCAAUAUACAUGCAUAAAUACUUUCUUUUUUUUUUUUAACUGAUUUUGUUCAUCAAUUUACAUGCAUAAAUACUUUUUUUUUUUUUUUAAACUGAUUUUGUUCAUCAAUAUACAUGCAUUAAUACUUUUUUUUUUAACUGAUUUAAGUGUUACAGGCCAAAAGAGAAAAAGAUUUAAGAGCAUAUUGGUAACCUCGACCGGUUAAGCAAAAAAGGCAGGAAAGUCAUUGGCUAGCCUUGUUAGGUGCUGACUAAGACUGUAGAUGAGCCAUUAAGUGUUUGAAGUGUUACAGGCCAAAAUAGAAAAGAAUAGUACUUUUUUUUUUUUUAACUGAUUUUGUUUAUCAAUAUACAUGCAUAAAUACUUUUUUUUUUUUUUUAAACUGAUUUUGUUUAUCAAUAUACAUGCAUUAAUACUUUUUUUUUUAACUGAUUUAAGUGUUACAGGCCAAAAGAGAAAAAGAUUGUAUGAGCCAAUGUAACCUCGACCGGUUAAGCAAAAAAGGCAGGAAAGUCAUUGGCUAGCCUUGUUAGGUGCUGACUAAGACUGUAGAUGAGCCAUUAAGUGUUUGAAGUGUUACAGGCCAAAAUAGAAAAAAAUUGUAUGAGCAUAUUGGUAACCUCGACCGGUUAAGCAAAAAAGGCAGGAAAGUCAUUGGCUAGCCUUGUUAGGUGCCGACUAAGACUGUAGAUGAGCCAUUAAGUGUUUGAAGUGUUACAGGCCAAAAUAGAAAAAAAUAGUACUUUUUUUUUUUUUUUACUGAUUUUGUUUAUUAAUACACAUGCAUAAAUACUUUUUUUUUUUUUUUUUUUUACUGAUUUAAGUGUUACAGGCCAAAAGAGAAAAAAUUUGUAUGAGCAUAUUGGUAACCUCGACCGGUUAAGCAAAAAGGCAGGAAAGUCAUUGGCUAGCCUUGUUAGGUGCUGACUACGACUGUAGAUGAGCCAUUAAGUGUUUGAAGUGUUACAGGCCAAAAUAGAAAAAAAUAGUAAGAGCAUAUUGGUAACUUUGACCGGUUAAGCAAAAAAGGCAGGAAAGUCAUUGGCUAGCCUUGUUAGGUGCUGACUAAGACUGUAGAUGAGCCAUUAAGUGUUUGAAGUGUUACAGGCCAAAAUAGAAAAGAAUAGUACUUUUUUUUUUUUACUGAUUUUGUUCACCAAAAUAUAUGCAUAAAUACUUUUUUUUUUUUUUUUUUUAACUGAUUUUGUUUAUCAAUAUACAUGCAUUAAUACUUUUUUUUUAACUGAUUUAAGUGUUACAGGCCAAAAUAGAAAAAAAUAGUAAGAGCAUGUUGGUAACUUUGACCGGUUAAGCAAAAAAGGCAGGAAAGUCAUUGGCUAGCCUUGUUAGGUACUGACUAAGACUGUAGAUGAGCCAUUAAGUGUUUGAAGUGUUACAGGCCAAAAUAGAAAAAAAUUGUACUUUUUUUUUUUUUUUUUUUUUUACUGAUUUUGUUUAUCAAUAUACAUGCAUAAAUACUUUUUUUUUUUUUUUUAACUGAUUUUGUUUAUCAAUAUACAUGCAUUAAUACUUUUUUUUUUUUAACUGAUUUUGUUCAUCAAUAUACAUGCAUAAAUACUUUUUUUUUUUUUUUUUAACUGAUUUUGUUCAUCAAUUUACAUGCAUGAAUACUUCUUUUUUUUUUUUUAAACUGAUUUUGUUCAUCAAUAUACAUGCAUUAAUACUUUUUUUUUUAACUGAUUUAAGUGUUACAGGCCAAAAGAGAAAAAGAUUGUAUGAGCAUAUUGGUAACCUCGACCGGUUAAGCAAAAAAGCCAGGAAAGUCAUUGGCGAGACUUGUUAGGUGCUGACUAAGACUGUAGAUGAGCCAUUAUUGAUACUGAUUUUGUUUAUCAAUAUAUACAUGCAUUAAUACUUUUUUUUUUUUUAACUGAUUUUGUUCAUCAAUAUACAUGCAUAAAUACUUUUUUUUUUUUUUUUUAACUGAUUUUGUUCAUCAAUUUACAUGCAUGAAUACUUCUUUUUUUUUUUUUAAACUGAUUUUGUUCAUCAAUAUACAUGCAUUAAUACUUUUUUUUUUAACUGAUUUAAGUGUUACAGGCCAAAAGAGAAAAAGAUUGUAUGAGCAUAUUGGUAACCUCGACCGGUUAAGCAAAAAAGCCAGGAAAGUCAUUGGCGAGACUUGUUAGGUGCUGACUAAGACUGUAGAUGAGCCAUUAUUGAUACUGAUUUUGUUUAUCAAUAUACAUGCAUUAAUACUUUUUUUUUUUUUAACUGAUUUUGUUCAUCAAUAUACAUGCAUAAAUACUUUUUUUUUUUUUUUUUAACUGAUUUUGUUCAUCAAUUUACAUGCAUGAAUACUUCUUUUUUUUUUUUUAAACUGAUUUUGUUCAUCAAUAUACAUGCAUUAAUACUUUUUUUUUUAACUGAUUUAAGUGUUACAGGCCAAAAGAGAAAAAGAUUGUAUGAGCAUAUUGGUAACCUCGACCGGUUAAGCAAAAAAGCCAGGAAAGUCAUUGGCGAGACUUGUUAGGUGCUGACUAAGACUGUAGAUGAGCCAUUAAGUGCUUGAAGUGUUACAGGCCAAAAUAAAAAAAUAAUGUAUGAGCAUAUUGGUAACCUCGACCGGUUAAGCAAAAAAGGCAGGAAAGUCAUUGGCUAGCCUUGUUAGGUGCUGACUAAGACUAAGACUAAGAUGAGCCAUUUAGUGUUUGAAGUGUUACAGGCCAAAAUAGAAAAAAAUAGUAAGAGCAUAUUGGUAACUUUGACCGGUUAAGCAAAAAGACAGGAAAGUCAUUGGCUAGCCUUGUUAGGUGCUGACUACGACUGCAGAUGA